This 30-nucleotide non-coding RNA is filed under the name Rattus norvegicus (Norway rat). Lineage: Eukaryota; Metazoa; Chordata; Mammalia; Rodentia; Muridae. The record is from RNAcentral.
UAAGAUGACCUAGGAUUUACUGGAGUGUAA